GUGACGAAGCGACGCCGCGUGUGGGAAGAAGGCCUUCGGGUUGUAAACCACUGUCGGGAGUUAGGAAAUGCAGGUGCGUUAAUAGCGCACUUGCUUGACUAAGCUCCAGAGGAAGCCACGGCUAACUCUGUGCCAGCAGCCGCGGUAAUACAGAGGCGGCAAGCGUUGUCCGGAAUUAUUGGGCGUAAAGAGCACGUAGGCGGCCUUGCAAGUCAGUUGUGAAAGCCUUCCGCUUAACGGAAGAACGGCAUCUGAUACUACAGGGCUUGAGUACGGGAGGGGAGAGUGGAACUUCUGGUGGAGCGGUGAAAUGCGUAGAUAUCAGAAGGAACGCCGGCGGCGAAAGCGACUCUCUGGUCCGAAACUGACGCUGAGUGUGCGAAAGCUAGGGGAGCAAACGGGAUUAGAUACCCCGGUAGUCCUAGCCGUAAACGAU
RNAcentral lists this ribosomal RNA (436 nucleotides) under uncultured anaerobic ammonium-oxidizing bacterium. RNAcentral's name for it is "bacterial SSU rRNA". It matches the Rfam family "Bacterial small subunit ribosomal RNA", at positions 383 to 810 of the family's 1533-position model. The record is from RNAcentral.